Molecule: ribosomal RNA, 430 nt
Filed under: uncultured bacterium
Lineage: Bacteria
Description: partial 16S ribosomal RNA
Rfam family: Bacterial small subunit ribosomal RNA
Source: RNAcentral
GUGGGGAAUAUUGCGCAAUGGGCGAAAGCCUGACGCAGCAACGCCGCGUGCGGGAUGACGGCCUUCGGGUUGUAAACCGCUUUCAGCAGGGACGAAGGGUUUCUGACGGUACCUGCAGAAGAAGCACCGGCUAACUACGUGCCAGCAGCCGCGGUGAUACGUAGGGUGCGAGCGUUGUCCGGAAUUAUUGGGCGUAAAGAGCUUGUAGGCGGUCCGUUGCGUCGGAAGUGAAAACUCGGGGCUUAACCCCGAGCCUGCUUUCGAUACGGGCGGACUUGAGGGAUGUAGGGGAGAACGGAAUUCCUGGUGGAGCGGUGGAAUGCGCAGAUAUCAGGGGGAACACCAGUGGCGAAGGCGGUUCUCUGGACAGUUCCUGACGCUGAGAAGCGAAAGCGUGGGGAGCAAACAGGCUUAGAUACCCGAGUAGUCC